UACGGAGGGUGCAAGCGUUAAUCGGAAUUACUGGGCGUAAAGGGUGUGUAGGUGGUGAGAUAAGUCAUUUGUAGAAGCCCUGGGCUCAACCUGGGAAUGUCGAGUGAUACUGUUUGACUAGAGUACGGGAGAGGGUAGUGGAAUUUCCGGUGUAGCGGUGAAAUGCGUAGAUAUCGGAAGGAACACCAGUGGCGAAGGCGGCUACCUGGCCUGAUACUGACACUGAGGCACGAAAGCGUGGGGAGCAAACAGG
RNAcentral lists this ribosomal RNA (253 nucleotides) under uncultured bacterium. RNAcentral describes it as "partial 16S ribosomal RNA". It matches the Rfam family "Bacterial small subunit ribosomal RNA", at positions 524 to 776 of the family's 1533-position model. The record is from RNAcentral.